This 1864-nucleotide long non-coding RNA is filed under the name Homo sapiens (human). RNAcentral describes it as "HSALNT0009846". The record is from RNAcentral. Lineage: Eukaryota; Metazoa; Chordata; Mammalia; Primates; Hominidae.
GGCAGGAGUAUAAUUCUUUCAUUCAUUUACCUAUCAUUUGCUGAGUGUAUAUAGUGCAUGACAGGCCACAGGCCAGCCAGACGAGGUGGCCAAACAAAGAAAUAAUAAGACAUCGUCCGAGCCUCAAGGAUGUCACACCUAGCAGAAAUGUCCAUGUAUAAAAAUAAUCCUGGUACACUGUAACAGUGCGAGAGAACCUAGUAAUAUGAGAGCAUAGAGGGUAGUCAGAGAAAGCUUCACAGAAGACAAAACAUUUGGAGUGGGUCUGGAAGGAUGAGUAAGAGUUUACUAUUUGGGGUUAACUCCCGAAGUGGAAAACACCACCAUAUUGGAAGCCUUGGGGUACUCUCAAAGUCAGCAAAUUUAUAGCCUCAUGCAAGAUCUGAGUAGUAACAGCCAUUUUGCAUCUUGUUUUUUAUGGCUAAUAAGAGAAAAAGCAAAAACAGGGACCUAUAGGAGAUGGGAGAUGUGCCCUGGUGAUGCGGACAGGCCUGUCCCUUCCAUGGGAGGUAUCUUUGGAAAUCCCCCAUCUCCACGGUAAUACGAGCUGCCAGCCGGCAGAGGGUGAAUUAGCACUGGCACCAUCAGAUACAAGCUGGACACAGCUGAGUGCAGACAGGACACCACAUCAUCUGGGACAAGAGAGCAGACUGCUAUGACAGGUUGGUCUCAGGCCGACAGGACCCAGCCUGGGCCUGACCCACUGGUGAGUCACCCAGGACAGCCCCAGUUGACUCCUUGGACCCAACAGCAAAGGCAAAACAACCAGAGAGAGGAAGCCUGGAUGACUUGGUUACUGCCACCUGAUGCUCUUGCGUCUGUGCCACAGGUUAAGCACUGGGAGGCACAGAUGUAUGAGGACUUGCCAUCUAGGAGUCAGAGAAUCAGCACAUAUCUUGUCAUGUCAUAGCUGAAGAGCUGCCACCUAGACCUGUUCCUGCUGCUUCACUCUGGUUUUCCCAUGGCCCAUAUGGAAGGGAACCAGGGUUGGGCUACCACCAUUUUGUGCUCCCAGAUUGGAGGAUGGGUGAGGCCUCUCCAUCCCAGCUUCCCUGGAUAACUUAAUUUAAGCUUAUGACACAUAUUCUCUGAAAGGCAAACCCAUGAGGUGUAUUCACAAAGAGGACAUCAAAUCCCACUUGGAGUCUUGUGUCAUUAAACCAUUACAGUCAGCCCUCCAUAUCCCUAGGUUCUGCAUCCAUGGAUUCAACCACCCAUGAAUAAAAAAUAUCCAGAAAAAAAAAGUUGAUGGUAGUGUCUGUGCUGAACAUGUUCAGACCUUUUUUGGUCAUUUUUCCCUAAACAAUACAGUAUAACAACUAUUUACAUAGCAUGUAGAUUGUAUUAGGUAUAUAUAAGUAAUCUAGAGGUGAUUUAAAGUAUAAAGGAGGAUGUGCAUAGGUUAUAUGCAAAUAGUAUGCCAUUUUAUAUAAGUUAUUUGAGCAUUUCCUCUAUGGGUUUUGGUAUCCAUGGAGGUCCUGGAACCAAUCCCCCACAGAUACCAAGGGACAAGUGUAUUUAGCAUUUUCAUACACCCUGUUUCAUCUGCAUAAGACCCUGACGAUUUCAAGAUACGCUAUCUUUUUACAUACCACUAAGAAAAACCAGCCAACUAGACUAUGGCAUGCCAUCUGCAGUAAGAUGGAUUCUGAUUUCAGAACUGUUAAAGGAUUUUUUGAAAAGUACUUUCUAGAAUCAACAAAAUCCAAAGGCUUUCUUCUCCAACUAGACUGUGAGUUCCUAGAGGGCAGAGAACAUACUUAUAAUUUUCUGUACUUUGCAGUGCCUAGCACAGUGUCAUACACAUAGAAAAUACACUGUAAAACACUCUAAUGAAUGAAAGAAAAGUGAAUAGUUAAUAUAA